Long non-coding RNA from Carassius auratus (goldfish), 1429 nucleotides. RefSeq lists it as uncharacterized. The transcript is spliced from 4 exons. The record is from RefSeq and is a predicted model, not a curated record. NCBI's taxonomy places the organism in Eukaryota, Metazoa, Chordata, Actinopteri, Cypriniformes, Cyprinidae.
UUUAUGUUCUUUAUCGCUGUUAUAUAAACUGAUUGUUUGAAAAGAAAAUGAUGUGCUGUGGUGUGCCCUCAUUGUGAAUCAAGUUAAAGAGCCCCAGACCUGCAGGAAACACUCAUUCACACAUGCACACAGAGAAAUCUGAAAUAAAAAGCUGCAGAUGCGUCUCAUGGGAGCAGCUGCAGGUUAAACAGUGGCUCCUCUCAGUCAGUGAUCUCCAUGGUGUCAGCAGAUCUCAUUACACAGACAGGACAGAGACUUUCCAUACCCACAAUUAAUGCAGCAAUCCCAGAAUGCACUGCACUUUUUAUUCCUUGUCAGAUCAAAUGCACACUUACUACACAUUCUUUUUUUAAUUAUUAGAUUUAUACAGUUUCUGAAGAAAAUGUUUUUCUUGUGAAAUAUGUGUUGAUUAUUGAUGUCUGUUAACCCAAGUCCAAGAAAUUCACAUCAAAGUCUAUACAUUAAUACAGUUCCAUUCAGUUAAAGUGUAACACUUACUGUAAUGUCUAGAGUAAUAAUCAACCACCACUAACUAGCAAAAUAAAAAGCUGUUAUAAAAACAUGAGCCUCUCUUGGAAAAUCUCAGCAAGGCCUGAAAAUGAGCAUUUUAGAAGCUCGUUGUACAGUAUUACAGGAAACACUCUGCACUUCACAGAAGGAGAGAUCUUCUAGAAAGCUCUCCAGAUAAUUCUCCAUCCCCUCACAAGUGCUUACCGGCUCUAUUUCUGCCUGGUAAGUGCCCUAGAGAGAGUGUGCAAGGGUCUCUGCGGUAUAUUGCUCUGUCAAUAUGCCCCAUUUGCAGGUACACACGACUGGGAUGAAGUCGCUGACAAACACAGGGAAGAGAUGACGACUUUGUCAUCAUUUAUUGUCGCCUUUUUCUUUCUAGAGUUCUCUUGUUCUUUACGGAGCGAGAGCUGUGCGGGUAAGUGUUGUGAGAUGGGACUCGUUUAGAGACAGGUUGUCAAUAUAUCAGUGUGUGAGUGUGUGUUUGCGUCUUCAGCAGGUAACGUCAGUUUGUCGGUGUCUGUCAGUAAGAACUCGACUCUGCUGGUUGACUGGAACAGCGGGAGCAAACAGACGACCCAAUGUGCUCUGCUCGUCUCAACCGAAGGAAGACAGGAGAUCCAGAUACACCUUUUACCAUGGUCUGGAUCGCUCCAGCUGGAAAAUAUGACAGACAAUGGCAAACACUACUUCUUAUGCACUUGUUUUGAACAAUCGCAGGGACUCUUGUGCUCCAAGAACAUAAGUUUUGUUAUGGGCCCUGUCUCUGCACCGCCUCUGGUCCUGAUGUCAGAUACUCAGAGCUCUGCCAGUUACAUCAGCAUGAGAUGGUUGAGCAGCGGUGUGUUUGGAACGACUUUAGCAACAUUUGUCAUUAUUCUAGUCUACAUUAUAUACAGAAGAUGGACGGGGAACGGUGUCU